AUGAAGCUGGAAUCGCUAGUAAUCGCGGAUCAGAAUGCCGCGGUGAAUACGUUCCCGGGUCUUGUACACACCGCCCGUCACACCAUGGGAGUCGGUAACGCCCGAAGUCAGUGACCCAACCGAAAGGAGGGAGCUGCCGAAGGCGGGACUGGUAACUGGGGUGAAGUCGUAACAAGGUACC
Molecule: ribosomal RNA, 181 nt
Filed under: uncultured bacterium
Lineage: Bacteria
Description: partial 16S ribosomal RNA
Rfam family: Bacterial small subunit ribosomal RNA
Source: RNAcentral